UACGUAGGGGGCUAGCGUUGUCCGGAAUCAUUGGGCGUAAAGCGCGUGUAGGCGGUCCGGUAAGUCCGCUGUGAAAGUCGAGGGCUCAACCCUCGAAUGCCGGUGGAUACUGUCGGGCUUGAGUACGGGAGAGGCAGAGGGAAUUCCCGGUGUAGCGGUGAAAUGCGUAGAUAUCGGGAAGAACACCAAAGGCGAAAGCGCUCUGCUGGGCCGAAACUGACACUGAGAGACGAAAGCUAGGGGAGCGAAUGGG
Molecule: ribosomal RNA, 253 nt
Filed under: uncultured bacterium
Lineage: Bacteria
Description: partial 16S ribosomal RNA
Rfam family: Bacterial small subunit ribosomal RNA
Source: RNAcentral